AGAUUGAACGCUGGCGGCAGGCCUAACACAUGCAAGUCGAGCGGCAGCACGGGUACUUGUACCUGGUGGCGAGCGGCGGACGGGUGAGUAAUGCCUAGGAAUCUGCCUGGUAGUGGGGGAUAACGCUCGGAAACGGACGCUAAUACCGCAUACGUCCUACGGGAGAAAGCGGGGGACCUUCGGGCCUCGCGCCAUUAGAUGAGCCUAGGUCGGAUUAGCUAGUUGGUGAGGUAAUGGCUCACCAAGGCGACGAUCCGUAACCGGUCUGAGAGGAUGAUCAGUCACACUGGAACUGAGACACGGUCCAGACCUCCUACGGGGAGGCAG
Molecule: ribosomal RNA, 327 nt
Filed under: uncultured soil bacterium
Lineage: Bacteria
Description: bacterial SSU rRNA
Rfam family: Bacterial small subunit ribosomal RNA
Source: RNAcentral